GAGUUUGAUCUUGGCUCAGGACGAACGCUGGCGGCGUGCUUAACACAUGCAAGUCGAACGGUAAGGCUCCAGCUUGCUGGGGUACACGAGUGGCGAACGGGUGAGUAACACGUGGGUGACCUGCCCUGCACUUCGGGAUAAGCCUGGGAAACUGGGUCUAAUACCGGAUAGGACCGCACCGUGAGGGUGUGGUGGAAAGUUUUUUCGUGUGGGAUGGGCCCGCGGCCUAUCAGCUUGUUGGUGGGGUAAUGGCCUACCAAGGCGGCGACGGGUAGCCGGCCUGAGAGGGUGGACGGCCACAUUGGGACUGAGACACGGCCCAGACUCCUACGGGAGGCAGCAGUGGGGAAUAUUGCACAAUGGGCGGAAGCCUGAUGCAGCGACGCCGCGUGGGGGAUGACGGCCUCGGUUGUAACGUA
RNAcentral lists this ribosomal RNA (419 nucleotides) under uncultured microorganism. RNAcentral's name for it is "bacterial SSU rRNA". It matches the Rfam family "Bacterial small subunit ribosomal RNA", at positions 9 to 432 of the family's 1533-position model. The record is from RNAcentral.